UUUGACCAAAAACUAAAUCUCGCCCUUUUCACAAAACCCUUUUUCACACUCUCGUAUUCUUAAACACUGAGAAUUCGACUUUCGUCCUCUCAAACCCAGUCCUCUGACCUCUCUCUCAGUCCCCUACUCCCCUUGAUACAAAAAUCAAAACACAGUGACCUGGUCUCAACGGUGGACGACGGCAGCACGGCGGGCGGAAGCUUUAUCGCUUCUCUAUCUCCUCGAACAAUGGUCUUGGCCUUUCCACAUCACUCGAGAUCUCGGUCUCUCUCUCAAGUCUCAAUCUCUCCUCGACGGCAUCGACCCUCUCCUUCUCUCCUCGACGAUCGAAGGUCUUUUUAAUCGUCGUAAGUCGACAGCUCUAAUCGAAAGCAAAGAAAUGGAGCAGAUCCAAUUCAAUCCUGGAGUGUGUCGUUAUCACUAGUUUGGUGUUGAACAUCAAGAUGGGAGCUUGUGCGUCCAAGAUUUGGUCAAGAACCUUGGUACCAUUGCAAGGUCUGGCACCAAGAAAUUCAUGGAAGCCUUGGCAGCGUGGCUGCUGGACCUGUUUUUAGCAUGAUUGGUCAGUUUGGUGUUGGAUUCUACUUUGCAUAUUUUGUUGUUAAGAAGGAAGAGGAAAUUGAUGAAGAGAAGGAAGUGGUCAUGUUUCUGGCCUUGAUAUUUUUGACCUUUAUGUUUAGGCAGGGUUAGUAUGUUCAUGUUGGGAUGAUGAUGGAAUGAAUUGGUUUUGGAUAUUUAGUCAAUUAAUGGAUAUGUUUUUGGAUGUAUUGAUCAAUUAGUUUUGGUUAGAUUUC
Molecule: long non-coding RNA, 794 nt
Filed under: Rosa chinensis
Lineage: Eukaryota; Viridiplantae; Streptophyta; Magnoliopsida; Rosales; Rosaceae
Description: sRNA RchiOBHm_Chr5g0062581
Source: RNAcentral